This 468-nucleotide ribosomal RNA is filed under the name uncultured bacterium. RNAcentral describes it as "partial 16S ribosomal RNA". It matches the Rfam family "Bacterial small subunit ribosomal RNA", at positions 28 to 507 of the family's 1533-position model. The record is from RNAcentral.
GACGAACGCUGGCGGCGUGCUUAACACAUGCAAGUCGAACGGAAAGGCCCUGCUUUUGUGGGGUGCUCGAGUGGCGAACGGGUGAGUAACACGUGAGUAACCUGCCCUUGACUUUGGGAUAACUUCAGGAAACUGGGGCUAAUACCGGAUAGGAGCUCCUGCUGCAUGGUGGGGGUUGGAAAGUUUCGGCGGUUGGGGAUGGACUCGCGGCUUAUCAGCUUGUUGGUGGGGUAGUGGCUUACCAAGGCUUUGACGGGUAGCCGGCCUGAGAGGGUGACCGGCCAAAUUGGGAAUGAGGUUCCGCCCAGACUCCUACGGGAGGCAGCAGGGGGGAAUAUUGCACAAUGGGCGGAAGCCUGAUGCAGCAACGCCGCGUGCGGGAUGACGGCCUUCGGGUUGUAAACCGCUUUCGCCUGUGACGAAGCGUGAGUGACGGUAAUGGGUAAAGAAGCACCGGCUAACUACGUG